This is a non-coding RNA of Danionella cerebrum, 76 nucleotides long. The record is from the annotation of a GenBank genome assembly. NCBI's taxonomy places the organism in Eukaryota, Metazoa, Chordata, Actinopteri, Cypriniformes, Danionidae.
CCAGUCGUGGCCUAGUGGAUGAGGUGAUUGACUGCAGAUCAAAAGGUCGCCGGUUUGAUUCCCCAGCUCCACUAGG